This 344-nucleotide small RNA is filed under the name Histoplasma capsulatum var. duboisii H88. RNAcentral describes it as "Histoplasma capsulatum H88 hypothetical RNA". The record is from RNAcentral. Lineage: Eukaryota; Fungi; Ascomycota; Eurotiomycetes; Onygenales; Ajellomycetaceae.
AGAGGAAUAUUGUUACAUGCAGCACAACCAUAUCUUGAUCUUGGAGCUCUACCUUUAUUUUGCUCUGUUCUCUUUCUUUUAUACUGACACCAGGCACAAGCUCAAGGUCCUGACAGAGGAAUUUGAUGGUGAUUUUGAUCUGAAUUUGAUCGAGUAGUAGGUAGAGGAUUUGAGAAUUCCAGGAGUUGAAGAUAAAGCUGCUGACAGAAUUCAACAUGGGAUAUAGUAAUGCCAGUGCUAAGUAGUGCCAGUAGUGCUAGCAGUGCCAGUAGUAGCCAGUUGAUGAAGAAUAUAAGCAUUGAAAAUAGCAUGAUCAAUAAUCCAGUAUAGAAUUGACAACCACG